GUAGGUGAACCUGCGGAAGGAUCAUUAUCGAGUGUCGGAUCGCAAGAUCUACCUCCCACCCAUUGUUUAUUGACCAGUUGCUUCGGCAGGACGUUCUUUACGGACCGUCGGCAUUUAUGCGGGCGAGCUCCUGCCGAAGGAUCACCAACUCUUACCUACAGUCUGAGAAAAGAAUAAAAAAAUCAAAACUUUCAACAACGGAUCUCUUGGUUCUG
Molecule: unclassified non-coding RNA, 215 nt
Filed under: rhizosphere metagenome
Description: partial ribosomal RNA internal transcribed spacer region
Source: RNAcentral